This 293-nucleotide unclassified non-coding RNA is filed under the name Hevea brasiliensis (rubber tree). The record is from RNAcentral. Lineage: Eukaryota; Viridiplantae; Streptophyta; Magnoliopsida; Malpighiales; Euphorbiaceae.
UGUGAAAGCUGUCUUCUCCCUGGCUAGUAAAAUUGCUCCAAGUGUCGUUUUUGUCGAUGAAGUUGAUAGCAUGCUGGGACGACGGGAAAAUCCAGGAGAACAUGAGGCCAUGCGUAAAAUGAAAAAUGAAUUCAUGGUGAAUUGGGAUGGAUUGCGUACAAAAGAUACUGAACGAGUAUUGGUUCUUGCAGCGACAAACAGACCAUUUGAUCUUGAUGAGGCUGUCAUAAGGCGACUGCCGCGUAGGCUGAUGGUCAAUUUACCAGAUGCUCCAAAUAGAGCGAAAAUUCUAA